UUUAGGGUUAAGGUUAGGGUUAGGUGUAGUGUUAGAUUUUAUGGUUGAUUAAGGGUUAAGGUUAGGGUUAGGUGUAGGGUUUGAUUUUAUGGUUGAUUAAGGGCUAAGGUUAGGGUUGGGUGUAGGGUUUGAUUUUAUGGUUGAUUAAGGGUUAAGGUUAGGGUUAGGUAUAGGGUUAGAUUUUAGGGUUGAUUAAGGGUUAAGGUUAGGGUUAGGUGUAGGGUUAGAUUUUAGGGUUGAUUAAGGGUUAAGGUUAGGGUUAGGUGUAGUGUUAGA
Molecule: long non-coding RNA, 276 nt
Organism: Astyanax mexicanus (Mexican tetra)
Lineage: Eukaryota; Metazoa; Chordata; Actinopteri; Characiformes; Acestrorhamphidae
Exons: 3
Source: RefSeq, a predicted model, not a curated record